GAUGAAGAACGUAGCGAAAUGCGAUAAGUAGUGUGAAUUGCAGAAUUCAGUGAAUCAUCGAAUCUUUGAACGCACAUUGCGCCCCUUGGUAUUCCAUGGGGCAUGCCUGUUCGAGCGUCAUUUGUACCUUCAAGCCUUGCUUGGUGUUGGGUGUUUGUCUCGCCUCUGCGCGCAGACUCGCCUCAAAACAAUUGGCAGCCGGCGUAUUGAUUUCGGAGCGCAGUACAUCUCGCGCUUUGCACUCAGAACGACGACGUCCAAAAGUACAUUUUUACACUCUUGACCUCGGAUCAGGUAGGGAUACCCGCUGAACUUAAGCACAUCAAUAAGCGGAGGA
RNAcentral lists this unclassified non-coding RNA (337 nucleotides) under soil metagenome. RNAcentral's name for it is "partial contains 5.8S ribosomal RNA, internal transcribed spacer 2, and large subunit ribosomal RNA". The stretch from base 1 to 120 matches the Rfam family "5.8S ribosomal RNA", at positions 35 to 154 of the family's 154-position model. The record is from RNAcentral.